ACAGUUUAUUUUAUCUGGAAGCAU
This 24-nucleotide small nuclear RNA is filed under the name Arabidopsis thaliana (thale cress). RNAcentral's name for it is "snRNA_15645". Lineage: Eukaryota; Viridiplantae; Streptophyta; Magnoliopsida; Brassicales; Brassicaceae. The record is from RNAcentral.